Molecule: microRNA precursor, 61 nt
Filed under: Drosophila ananassae
Lineage: Eukaryota; Metazoa; Arthropoda; Insecta; Diptera; Drosophilidae
Description: Dan-Novel-1_pre stem-loop
Source: RNAcentral
UGCCAUACUGCUCAAACUUAAUUUGUAUUUAAAAAAAUUAGGUUUGGUAGUAUUUGGCGAA